AGAGUUUGAUCCUGGCUCAGAGCGAACGCUGGCGGCAGGCCUAACACAUGCAAGUCGAGCGCCCCGCAAGGGGAGCGGCAGACGGGAGAGUAACACGUGGGAACGUGCCCUUUGGUUCGGAACAACCCAGGGAAACUUGGGCUAAUACCGGAUACGUCCGUAAGGAGAAAGAUUUAUCGCCAAAGGAUCGGCCCGCGUCUGAUUAGCUAGUUGGUGAGGUAACGGCUCACCAAGGCGACGAUCAGUAGCUGGUCUGAGAGGAUGAUCAGCCUCACUGGGACUGAGACACGGCCCAGACUCCUACGGGAGGCAGCAGUGGGGAAUAUUGGACAAUGGGCGCAAGCCUGAUCCAGCCAUGCCGCGUGGAUGAUGAAGGCCCUAGGGUUGUAAAGUCCUUUCGGCGGGGAAGAUAAUGACGGUACCCGCAGAAGAAGCCCCGGCUAACUUCGUGCCAGCAGCCGCGGUAAUACGAAGGGGGCUAGCGUUGCUCGGAAUCACUGGGCGUAAAGCGCACGUAGGCGGCUUUUUAAGUCAGGGGUGAAAUCCUGGAGCUCAACUCCAGAACUGCCUUUGAUACUGAGAAGCUUGAGUCCGGGAGAGGUGAGUGGAACUGCGAGUGUAGAGGUGAAAUUCGUAGAUAUUCGCAAGAACACCAGUGGCGAAGGCGGCUCACUGGCCCGGUACUGACGCUGAGGUGCGAAAGCGUGGGGAGCAAACAGGAUUAGAUACCCUAGUAGUCC
Molecule: ribosomal RNA, 740 nt
Filed under: uncultured bacterium
Lineage: Bacteria
Description: bacterial SSU rRNA
Rfam family: Bacterial small subunit ribosomal RNA
Source: RNAcentral